This 886-nucleotide ribosomal RNA is filed under the name uncultured delta proteobacterium. Its description in RNAcentral is "bacterial SSU rRNA". It matches the Rfam family "Bacterial small subunit ribosomal RNA", at positions 8 to 917 of the family's 1533-position model. The record is from RNAcentral. Lineage: Bacteria; Deltaproteobacteria.
AGAGUUUGAUCAUGGCUCAGGACGAACGCUGGCGGCGUGCUUAACACAUGCAAGUCACGGGGGGGUAGCAAUACCCAACCGGCGAACGGGUGCGUAACACGUGAGCAACCUGCCAAUCUGUGGGGGAUAGCCGGCCCAACGGCCGGGUAAUACCGCAUACGUUCACUGAGGGACAUCCCUUGGUGAGGAAACCUCCGGGGCAGAUUGAGGGGCCCGCGUCCGAUUAGCUAGUUGGUAGGGUAAAAGCCUACCAAGGCGACGAUCGGUAGGUGGUCUGAGAGGAUGAUCACCCACAAUGGGACUGAGACACGGCCCAUACUCCUACGGGAGGCAGCAGUGGGGAAUUUUGUGCAAUGGGGGAAACCCUGACACAGCGACACCGCGUGAGCGAAGAAGCCCUUUGGGGUGUAAAGCUCUGUCAACGGGAACGAAAAAAAUGACGGUACCCGUGGAGGAAGCAUCGGCUAACUACGUGCCAGCAGCCGCGGUAAGACGUAGGAUGCAAGCGUUGUCCGGAUUUAUUGGGCGUAAAGAGUUCGUAGGCUGUUUGUUAAGUCUGAUGUUAAAGACUGGGGCUCAACCUCGGAAAUGCAUUGGAUACUGGCAGACUGGAGUGCAGUAGAGGCUAGUGGAAUUCCCAGUGUAGCGGUGAAAUGCGUAGAUAUUGGGAAGAACACCGGUGGCGUAGGCGACUAGCUGGGCUGUAACUGACGCUGAGGAACGAAAGCCAGGGGAGCGAAUGGGAUUAGAUACCCCAGUAGUCCUGGCCGUAAACGAUGGAUACUAGGCGUAGUGGGUAUCGACCCCUGCUGUGCCGCAGCUAACGCGAUAAGUAUCCCGCCUGAGUAGUACGGCCGCAAGGUUGAAACUCAAAUGAAUUGACGGG